CCUACGGGUGGCAGCCGUGAGGAAUAUUGGUCAAUGGGCGGACGCCUGAACCAGCCAAGUAGCGUGCAGGAUGACGGCCCGACGGGUUGUAAACUGCUUUUAUCCGGGACUAACGCGCCUUACGUGUAGGGCUUUGCAUGUACCGUAUGAGUAAGGACAGGCUAAUUCCGUGCCAGCAGCCGCGGUAAUACGGAAGUUCCGGGCGUUAUCCGGAUUUAUUGGGUUUAAAGGGAGCGUAGGCCGCAUGUCAAGCGUGCUGUGAAAUGUCCGGGCUCAACCCGGGCCUUGCAGCGCGAACUGGCGUGCUUGAGUCCGCGGAGAGCAGGCGGAAGUCGUCGUGUAGCGGUGAAAGGCUGAGAUAUGACGAAGAACCCCGAUUGCGAAGGCAGCUUGCUGCAGCGGAACUGACGCUGAUGCUCGAAAGCGCGGGUAUCGAACAGGAUUAGAUACCCCGGUAGUC
RNAcentral lists this ribosomal RNA (460 nucleotides) under uncultured bacterium. Its description in RNAcentral is "partial 16S ribosomal RNA". It matches the Rfam family "Bacterial small subunit ribosomal RNA", at positions 338 to 795 of the family's 1533-position model. The record is from RNAcentral.